GACGAACGCUGGCGGCGUGCUUAACACAUGCAAGUCGAACGGAAAGGCCCUGCUUUUGUGGGGUGCUCGAGUGGCGAACGGGUGAGUAACACGUGAGUAACCUGCCCUUGACUUUGGGAUAACUUCAGGAAACUGGGGCUAAUACCGGAUAGGAGCUCCUGCUGCAUGGUGUGGGUUGGAAAGUUUCGGCGGUUGGGGAUGGACUCGCGGCUUAUCAGCUUGUUGGUGGGGUAGUGGCUUACCAAGGCUUUGACGGGUAGCCGGCCUGAGAGGGUGACCGGCCACAUUGGGACUGAGAUGCGGCCCAGACUCCUACGGGAGGCAGCAGUGGGGAAUAGUGCACAAUGGGCGGAAGCCUGAUGCAGCAACGCCGCGUGCGGGAUGACGGCCUUCGGGUUGUAAACCGCUUUCGCCUGUGACGAAGCGUGAGUGACGGUAAUGGGUAAAGAAGCACCGGCUAACUACGUG
Molecule: ribosomal RNA, 468 nt
Filed under: uncultured bacterium
Lineage: Bacteria
Description: partial 16S ribosomal RNA
Rfam family: Bacterial small subunit ribosomal RNA
Source: RNAcentral